RNAcentral lists this long non-coding RNA (782 nucleotides) under Sus scrofa (pig). Its description in RNAcentral is "lncRNA (ENSSSCG00070023911.1)". Lineage: Eukaryota; Metazoa; Chordata; Mammalia; Artiodactyla; Suidae. The record is from RNAcentral.
CUGGUGAAAAAUCUAAUGAAACAUCUGGAGAGAAAUGCAUGUUCUGUUGUUGCCCCCGGCUCCCAUUCUUACACUACCUCUUCUCCCCAGAGAAACAAUCUGGCUAUUCUAAAGUGAUAAAUGGAUGGAGUUUGGUCUUGGCAGCCUGUCUUUAUGCUUAUAUCUUUUCUGGAUUAAUGUUAUUUACAGGAGAAAAGAUGGCUUCUUUUAACAUGUGACUCAGUGGGGGUUUUCAUUUUAGGGUCUUUGCAUUUCUGUCUGAAAAUCUCUAAUGUUGAAGGUCACUGCUUGGGCUGAGGUGACUGGAGUGCAAGAACAUACCAAAAUCUGAAGGGCAGAGCCCUGAAGCUGAACAAAUCGGUGGAUUCCAUCUUCUUGGCCCCUCUAUUCUGGAGUGAGAAAUCAGACUGAAUCUCAAGACUCCUGUGAUCAAGUCUAGAACAAAGGCUGAUUCUCUCCCUUUGGAGCAUACGAUGAGCCAUUUUUGUCAGGAUGAAGGAAGCUGUUUUCAACAUAAAGCUGAUUCACAAAUGAGAGGAAAACUAAGCUGUUCCAUUGAGGGCACUACUCCUGUGGAACCGAAUACUGUCCUAUACAAUGAAAACUGGAAGGUCUUCUCCCUUGCAUUUCCUUUCGGACUGCAGUUUAAGAAACUUCCUCAUUAUUCCAUCACACCUGCACAUAAAGUGGUCAUUAUCUCCAUCCUGCUCCUUCUCCUGCAUAAAUCGAUGCUGAUUGAAGUCUGGGUCCAAGGCGAGUUAUAUAAACCUUGGUUGGAAUAA